This 278-nucleotide signal recognition particle RNA is filed under the name Microcebus murinus (gray mouse lemur). RNAcentral's name for it is "Metazoan signal recognition particle RNA (ENSMICG00000032701.2)". It matches the Rfam family "Metazoan signal recognition particle RNA". From Rfam's summary of the family: The signal recognition particle (SRP) is a universally conserved ribonucleoprotein. It is involved in the co-translational targeting of proteins to membranes. Lineage: Eukaryota; Metazoa; Chordata; Mammalia; Primates; Cheirogaleidae. The record is from RNAcentral.
UCAGUGUGGUGGCAUGCACCUGUACUUCCAGCUACUCUGGAGGAUGAGGAAGAAGGAUGGCUUUAGCCCAUCCUUUAGCUGACUGGGUCUCUGCACUAAGUUCAGCAUCAAUAUAGUGACCUCCCAGGAGUGGGGGACAACCAUGUUGUCUAAGGAGGGUGAACCAGCCCAGGUCAGAAAUGCAUCAGGUCAAAACUCCCUUACUGAUCACUAAUGGGAUUGUACCUGUGAAUAGCCACUGUACUCCAGCCUGGGCAACAUAGCCAGAUCCCAUCUCU